AUGAAAAAACAAGGCAUCUGCUGGGAGUCCGAGGACGUGCUAGUGUCAUGGUACUGGUUCCUCAAGAAGGUAGUCGCCCACGCUGACCACCAGCCGCACCCCGAUCUCGACUUCGCCGAGCUCUUCGAGGUGUUCUGCGAGGGCCGCAACAGAUGCGGGCCCAUGUGGCGGCAGGCGGCCGAGUACUGGGAGGCGAGCAGGGAGAGCCCGGACAAGGUGCUCUUCCUCAGUUACGAGGAGAUGCUGCGCGACCCAUCGGGCAACGUCCGGAGGCUGGUGCGGUUCCUGGAGUGCCCGUUCACGACGGAGGAGGAGGAUGCCCGCGUGGUGGGUGCCAUCUUGGAGCUGUGCAGCCUGGAGAAGCUACGGAACCUGGAGGUGAACAAGAACGGCGCACCGGGGAUGAACACUGACUCCAACGUCGCCUUCUUCAGGAAGGGCAUGGUCCGCGACUGGAGCAACGACAUGACGCCCGCCAUGGCAGCGAGGCUGGAUGCCAUCGUCGAGGACGUGCUGCGAGGCAGCACGGGCUUCUCGUUUACUAACUCUGGCCACGUGGAAGAAGGUGCUCCUCCGGAGAUCGGUUGA
This 588-nucleotide ribosomal RNA is filed under the name Triticum aestivum (bread wheat). RNAcentral describes it as "partial small subunit ribosomal RNA". The record is from RNAcentral. Lineage: Eukaryota; Viridiplantae; Streptophyta; Magnoliopsida; Poales; Poaceae.